AGAGUUUGAUCAUGGCUCAGGACGAACGCUGGCGGCGUGCCUAAUACAUGCAAGUUGAACGAUGAUUUCUGGUACUUGUAUCAGAAUGAAGAGUAGCGAACGGGUGAGUAACGCGUGGGUAACCUACCUCUUAGCGGGGGACAACUAUUGGAAACGAUAGCUAAUACCGCAUAACAAUGCUUAACACAUGUUAAGGAUUUGAAAGUACCAAUUGGUACACUAGGAGAUGGACCCGCGUUGUAUUAGCUAGUUGGUAGUGUAAUGGACUACCAAGGCGAUGAUACAUAGCCGACCUGAGAGGGUGAUCGGCCACAUUGGGACUGAGACACGGCCCAAACUCCUACGGGAGGCAGCAGUAGGGAAUCUUCGGCAAUGGACGAAAGUCUGACUGAGCAACGCCGCGUGAGUGAAGAAGGUUUUCGGAUCGUAAAACUCUGUUGUUAGAGAGGAACGUUGUGUAGAGUGGAAAAUUACACAAGUGACGGUAUCUAACCAGAAAGGGACGGCUAACUACGUGCCAGCAGCCGCGGUAAUACGUAGGUCCCGAGCGUUGUCCGGAUUUAUUGGGCGUAAAGCGAGCGCAGGUGGUUUAAUAAGUCUGAUGUAAAAGGCAGUGGCUCAACCAUUGUGUGCAUUGGAAACUGUUAGACUUGAGUGCAGUAGAGGAGAGUGGAAUUCCAUGUGUAGCGGUGAAAUGCGUAGAUAUAUGGAGGAACACCGGUGGCGAAAGCGGCUCUCUGGACUGUAACUGACACUGAGGCUCGAAAGCGUGGGUAGCAAACAGGAUUAGAUACCCUGGUAGUCCACGCCGUAAACGAUGAGUGCUAGUUGUUUGGGGCUAUCCAGCCCUAAGUGACGCAGCAAACGCAUUAAGCACUCCGCCUGGGGA
Molecule: ribosomal RNA, 889 nt
Filed under: uncultured bacterium
Lineage: Bacteria
Description: bacterial SSU rRNA
Rfam family: Bacterial small subunit ribosomal RNA
Source: RNAcentral